RNAcentral lists this ribosomal RNA (500 nucleotides) under uncultured bacterium. RNAcentral describes it as "partial 16S ribosomal RNA". It matches the Rfam family "Bacterial small subunit ribosomal RNA", at positions 30 to 523 of the family's 1533-position model. The record is from RNAcentral.
AUUGAACGCUGGCGGCAUGCCUUACACAUGCAAGUCGAACGGCAGCACGGGAGCAAUCCUGGUGGCGAGUGGCGAACGGGUGAGUAAUGUAUCGGAACGUGCCCAGUCGUGGGGGAUAACGCAGCGAAAGCUGUGCUAAUACCGCAUACGAUCUAUGGAUGAAAGCGGGGGAUCGCAAGACCUCGCGCGAUUGGAGCGGCCGAUAUCAGAUUAGGUAGUUGGUGGGGUAAAGGCCUACCAAGCCUGCGAUCUGUAGCUGGUCUGAGAGGACGACCAGUCACACUGGAACUGAGACACGGUCCAGACUCCUACGGGAGGCAGCAGUGGGGAAUUUUGGACAAUGGGCGCAAGCCUGAUCCGGCAAUGCCGCGUGCAGGAUGAAGGCCUUCGGGUUGUAAACUGCUUUUGUACGGAGCGAAACGGCUCUCACUAAUACUGGGGGCUAAUGACGGUACCGUAAGAAUAAGCACCGGCUAACUACGUGCCAGCCGCCGCGGUAA